GUGAGCCCCAGGUGACCCCCAGGUGUCCCCAGGUGUCCCCCAGGUGUGUCCCAGGUGACCCCCAGGUGACCCCAGAACCCACAGGUGAGUCCCAGGGGGCGCUGCAGGAGCAUCUCCGAGAACAGCAGGUAAUCUGGGGGGACAGGGGGGGACAGGUGGGGACAGGUGGGGACAGGUGAGCUCAGGUGACCCCCAGGUGACCCCCAGGUAACCCCCAGGUGUGUCCCAGGUACCCCCAGGUGUCCCCAGGUGUCCCCAGGUGUCCCCAGGUACCCCCAGGUGACCCCAGGUGCUGCAGGAGCAUCUCCGAGAACAGCAGGCAAUCUGGGGGGACAGGGGGGACAGGGGGGGACAGGUGAGCCCCCAGGUAACCCCCAGGUGUGACCCAGGUACCCCCAGGUGACCCCCAGGUGCUGCAGGAGCAUCUCCAAGAACAGCAGGUAAUCUGGGGGGACAGGGGGGGACAGGUGAGUCCCAAAUACCCCCCAGGUGACCCCCAGGUGUCCCCAGGUGACCCCCAGGUGACCCCCAGGUGCUGCAGGAGCAUCUCCAAGAAGAGCAGGUAAUCUGGGGGGACAGGGGGGGACAGGUGACCCCCAGGUGAGUCCCAGGUACCCCCAGGUAACCCCCAGGUGACCCCCAGGUGCUGCUGGAGCAUCUCCGAGAACAGCAGGUAAUCUGGGGGGACGGGGGGGACAGGUGAGCCCCAGGUGACCCCCAGGUGACCCCAGGUGUCCCCAGGUGACCCCCAGAUACCCCCAGGUAACCCCCAGAUGAGUCCCAGGUGACCCCCAGGUGACCCCAGAACCCCCAAGUGACCCCAGGUACCCCCCAGGUGACCCGGGGUGACUCCAGGUGUCCCCAGGUGACCCCCAGGUACCCCCAGGUGACCCCAGAUGACCCCCAGAUGACCCCCAAGUGACCCCAGGUGUGGGGGCGGGGCUGGGGGAAGGAGAAUUUUUGGCUCCCCUCCCUCCAUUUUUGGGGUUCUUGUCCCUGAGGUUCUUGGGGCUCACCGCCCAUUUUUGGGGUUCCCCCACAGCUUUUUGGGGUUCUGUCUCCCCCCCCGCAGGUUUUUGGGGCUCUGCCCCCCAUUUCUGGGGCUCUCCCCCAUUUUUGGGGUUUCCCCACAGGUUUUGGGGCUCUCCGCCCCAUUUUUGGGGUUCUCUCUCCCCCUCACCACAGGUUUUUGGGGUUCUCCCUCGGUUUUUGGGGUCUCUCUCACCCCCAGGUUUUUGGGCUGUUUUUGGGGUUUCCCCGGGGUAUUUUUGGGUCCCCCAGGUGUUUUUGGGGUCCCCCCGGGUGUUUUUGGGGUUUUUGGGGUGCUCACGUCUCGCUCAGGGUCUCGUACAAGCCGUGGUCC
This 1363-nucleotide long non-coding RNA is filed under the name Parus major (Great Tit). Its description in RNAcentral is "lncRNA (ENSPMJG00000004584.1)". Lineage: Eukaryota; Metazoa; Chordata; Aves; Passeriformes; Paridae. The record is from RNAcentral.